GGCAAGAUGGCCGAGCGGUCUAAGGCGCUGCACUCAAGAACUAUCUUUCCAAAGAAAAUUUGGCAUUGCAGUUCCGAAAGGAGCGUGGGUUCGAAUCCCACUCUUGUCA
Molecule: non-coding RNA, 109 nt
Organism: Coniochaeta sp. PMI_546
Lineage: Eukaryota; Fungi; Ascomycota; Sordariomycetes; Coniochaetales; Coniochaetaceae
Source: the annotation of a GenBank genome assembly